GAUGAACGCUGGCGGCGUGCCUAAUACAUGCAAGUCGAGCGAACAGACGAGGAGCUUGCUCCUCUGACGUUAGCGGCGGACGGGUGAGUAACACGUGGAUAACCUACCUAUAAGACUGGGAUAACUUCGGGAAACCGGAGCUAAUACCGGAUAAUAUAUUGAACCGCAUGGUUCAAUAGUGAAAGACGGUUUUGCUGUCACUUAUAGAUGGAUCCGCGCCGCAUUAGCUAGUUGGUAAGGUAACGGCUUACCAAGGCAACGAUGCGUAGCCGACCUGAGAGGGGGAUCGGCCACCUUGGAACUGAGACACGGUCCAGACCCCUACGGGGGGCAGCAGUAGGAAAUUUUCCGAAAUGGGCGAAAGUUUGACGGAGAAACGCCGGGGGGGUGAGGAAGGUCUUCGGAUCGUAAAACUCUGUUAUUAGGGAAAAAAAAAUUUGUAAGUAACUAUGCACGUUUUGACGGUACCUAAUCAAAAAGCCACGGCUAACUACGG
This 496-nucleotide ribosomal RNA is filed under the name uncultured bacterium. Its description in RNAcentral is "partial 16S ribosomal RNA". It matches the Rfam family "Bacterial small subunit ribosomal RNA", at positions 28 to 506 of the family's 1533-position model. The record is from RNAcentral.